Molecule: ribosomal RNA, 278 nt
Filed under: Streptomyces sp. VRA16 Mangrove soil
Lineage: Bacteria; Bacillati; Actinomycetota; Actinomycetes; Kitasatosporales; Streptomycetaceae
Description: partial 23S ribosomal RNA
Rfam family: Bacterial large subunit ribosomal RNA
Source: RNAcentral
GGCCAAGUUUUUAAGGGCGCACGGUGGAUGCCUUGGCACCAGGAACCGAUGAAGGACGUGGGAGGCCACGAUAGUCCCCGGGGAGUCGUCAACCAGGCUUUGAUCCGGGGGUUUCCGAAUGGGGAAACCCGGCAGUCGUCAUGGGCUGUCACCCGCUGCUGAACACAUAGGCAGUGUGGAGGGAACGCGGGGAAGUGAAACAUCUCAGUACCCGCAGGAAGAGAAAACAACCGUGAUUCCGGGAGUAGUGGCGAGCGAAACCGGAUGAGGCCAAACCU